This 433-nucleotide ribosomal RNA is filed under the name uncultured bacterium. RNAcentral describes it as "partial 16S ribosomal RNA". It matches the Rfam family "Bacterial small subunit ribosomal RNA", at positions 29 to 507 of the family's 1533-position model. The record is from RNAcentral.
AACGAACGCUGGCGGCAGGCCUAACACAUGCAAGUCGAGCGAUCAUUUCGGUGCUAGCUGCUGACGGUUGAUUAACGCGUGGUGACUUGCCCUUUUCUGCGGUAUCUUCUUGGGGAACUUGGGUUAAUACCGCAUACGCUCUUUUGGGGUAAGAUUUAUCGGAGAAUGAUCUGCCCGCGUUGGAUUAGGUAGUUGGUGUGGUAAUGGCCCACCAAGCCGACGAUCCAUAGCUGGUUUGAGAGGAUGAUCAGCCACACUGGGACUGAGACACGGACCAGACUCCUACGGGAGGAAGGAGUGGGGAAUCUGAGACAAUGGGGGCAACACUGAGCUAGCCAUGCCGCGUGAGUGAUGAAGAACUGAGGGUUGUAAAGCUCUGUCAGCAGGGAAGAUAAUGACGGUACCAGAAGAAGAAGCCCCGGCUAACUCCGUG